This 348-nucleotide transfer-messenger RNA is filed under the name Spirochaeta lutea. It matches the Rfam family "transfer-messenger RNA". Rfam says of the family: Bacterial tmRNA, also known as 10Sa RNA or SsrA, is named for its dual tRNA and mRNA-like properties. Its role is to liberate the mRNA from a stalled ribosome. The record is from Rfam by way of RNAcentral. Lineage: Bacteria; Pseudomonadati; Spirochaetota; Spirochaetia; Spirochaetales; Spirochaetaceae.
GGGGGUGUUCCGGAUUCGACUGGGGCUGUGGUGGCCUACGUUGCAGGUGGAGCGCCAUCUCCUGAUUGGCAAACAGUAUAACUGCCGAUAAUAACGCAGAUUACGCACUAGCAGCCUAAAUACUGCUACGGAUCACCUGGAUGCUGCUCUGAGUUCAGGAUGGUCUGAAAGAUCCCGGAGCUUACCAUGGAAUUUCGUCUGCAUUUUCCAUGGGAAAUUCAUGCAGACUAAGGGUUAAGAGGUGUGUUUCUUCCCCUCCUUAGCUCUGACAGACAAAAAGAGACUAAACCUGUAGUAGCGUAGUCUAUGCACCUUAGGACGCGGGUUCAACUCCCGCCACCUCCAAAA